Molecule: ribosomal RNA, 499 nt
Filed under: uncultured bacterium
Lineage: Bacteria
Description: bacterial SSU rRNA
Rfam family: Bacterial small subunit ribosomal RNA
Source: RNAcentral
UCAGAUUGAACGCUGGCGGCAUGCCUUACACAUGCAAGUCGAACGGUAGCGCGGGGGCAACCCUGGCGACGAGUGGCGAACGGGUGAGUAAUGUAUCGGAACGUGCCCUGGAGUGGGGGAUAACUGGUCGAAAGACUAGCUAAUACCGCAUACGAUCUACGGAUGAAAGUGGGGGAUCGCAAGACCUCAUGCUCAUGGAGCGGCCGAUAUCUGAUUAGCUGGUUGGCGGGGUAAAAGCCCACCAAGGCGACGAUCAGUAGCUGGUCUGAGAGGACGACCAGCCACACUGGGACUGAGACACGGCCCAGACUCCUACGGGAGGCAGCAGUGGGGAAUUUUGGACAAUGGGCGCAAGCCUGAUCCAGCAAUGCCGCGUGUGUGAAGAAGGCCUUCGGGUUGUAAAGCACUUUUGUCGGGAACGAAACGGUCCGGGCUAAUAUCCUGGGCUAAUGACGGUACCUGAAGAAUAAGCACCGGCUAACUACGUGCCAGCAGCAGC